RNAcentral lists this ribosomal RNA (864 nucleotides) under Triticum aestivum (bread wheat). RNAcentral describes it as "partial small subunit ribosomal RNA". Lineage: Eukaryota; Viridiplantae; Streptophyta; Magnoliopsida; Poales; Poaceae. The record is from RNAcentral.
AUGGCAAUAAAGUCAGCCAGCAUCUCGUGUUUUCUCCGGUGCGGCUCCGCCGCCGGCGCCGUUAGGCCAUCCGUAUGGGCGCGCAGCGCCCGUUUCCUCGGCCGCGACAGCCGUACCGAUGGAACCGGCUCGAAGCUGUACUGCAGCGCCCCUACUCCCUGGAGCUACGCUCACAACUUCGACUCAGACUCGGAAUCCAUGCCGCCUGGCCCUUGGUGGGGCGAGGCGCUGCUCGAAGAAGACGCCGAGUUUUUUCCUCUUGCCGAUUUUAUUCCAGUUGGACAGGGCAGGAAAGAACUAGAUGCUAUAUGGCAUGCCCUCGUCGCUGGCCCGCUCGAAUCCAUCAUCCUCACGCUGCGCGAGAUCAUGGCCGCCGGCAACUUGUUCCGCUGCCGCAGCUUCCAUGUCGGCACUCUCUCAGGUGCUUUGCUAGUUCUUGCUGCGUUUUGCCAACUCUGCAAAACGACACCUACCCUUUUCAUGGACAUUGUUCUUGGGUAUGUGUUCUACAAGCUAAGUGUUUUAUCUGCUCAGUUGCAAAAAGAUGGCAGGUCAUUUAGCAUAUGUGCACGGAUACAGCUAGUUCUUCUACUUAUUUUGUCUUUCAAGGAUAACAGUGCAUUUCAGGGUUUCUACCGCUUUCUUGUGGAAUUGAUCUGGGCGCUCAAUAUUUACAUGUAUUUCAUUAUGGCCUAUGAGGCGACCGUCGGUGUGAAGCAUGGAAGACUCUAUUGGCUUGCAAUCUAUAGAUGGAUGCAGACGAAAGGAGGCCUGACGAAGGUGCUGAAGCAUACAUUUCUUGAUAUCUUUGGAGGAAAUAAGAAGCCAGUCUCGAUAAAAAGAAGGAAUAGAAAUCGGCAGUAG